GGCAACAAUAUGACCCAGACGCAAAACUGAACUUCUAUGAUCCUGAGAUUUUGACAAGCUGCAAUGCAACACACAAGUCCUUAGGGUGUGAACUAAACUCAUGAUCCUGGAAUUGCUACUGUUGUGCUUUAUCAGCUGAGCUACAGGAACUCCAUCACAGGAUGUUUCCUUGUGAACUCGCGCUCUCUAAGGUGUGCUGAAAGGUGGCCUGUAAGGACAUGAGCGGUGGAGGUCAGAACGGACAGGAAGCGGCUGUUUGUUUGUCUGGACACUUGUUUGUGAGACUGGCCAUUAUCCUCCUCAUUAAUUCUGAUGGUAAAUAGCCCGGCUCAAGAUUGGGAAGGUUAUACCGACCUCACACUCCUCCAUAACUCUAUGUUUGAAUUAUUUUAGCCCUCACGGUGGCUGGUUUUGUCCCUUUUGUUAGGGCAGCUUUGUGUUUACAGCCUACACUAUUAAAAAGAAAGGUUCGUUGUUGUCUUUGAUGGUUCCGUGAAGAACCUUUAACAUCCAGAACCUUUCCAUUCCACAAAAAGGUUCUUUAUAGUUGAAAAAGGUUCUUUAGAUUUUUAAAAUGUUCUACACACUAAGAAAAAAUGUUUUUUUGAAGAACUGUUGACUGAAAGGUUCUCCGGAAAACCCAAAAUGGUGGUUACGUGGCUUUUGGAACAUUUAUUUUUAAGAGUGUACACAACACAUAUCACAAGAGAAUCGCAACACUGGUGGAUUUUAUCCAUCAAAAUGUCACUGUGGUGCAAUUUCAGCUCAUUUUGAAUUGAUUCUUUUACCCAAGGCUGAACUUUUUGGGGUUAAAAUGAAAAUUCUUUUUUUACUCACCUGUAUGAUUUUCUGUCAUUUGUUGAACAUAAUGCUGAGUUUUUAACAGUGCUGAGGAUCUUGUAUGUCUGUGUGGGAUGUGUUUCAUGUCUGAACUGUUAAAUAAUGAAAGCUAAAUUCAUAUUUGUUGUCCCCCAGGUGAACCUUCUCUACACACUUUCUUAAGUCAGAUAUUACACUUAUUCAUAUUGCCACUGCUGUCA
Molecule: long non-coding RNA, 1040 nt
Organism: Megalobrama amblycephala (Wuchang bream)
Lineage: Eukaryota; Metazoa; Chordata; Actinopteri; Cypriniformes; Xenocyprididae
Exons: 3
Source: RefSeq, a predicted model, not a curated record